GACGAACGCUGGCGGCGUGCUUAACACAUGCAAGUCGAACGGAAAGGCCCCCACCUUGGUGGGGGUGCUCGAGUGGCGAACGGGUGAGUAACACGUGGGUGAUCUGCCCUGUACUUCGGGAUAAGCUUGGGAAACUGGGUCUAAUACCGGAUAGGACCAUGGUUUAGUGUCUCAUGGUGGAAAAAUUAUUGUUUUGGUGCAGGAUGAGCUCGCGGCCUAUCAGCUUGUUGGUGGGGUAAUGGCCUACCAAGGCGUCGACGGGUAGCCGGCCUGAGAGGGUGGACGGCCACAUUGGGACUGAGAUACGGCCCAGACUCCUACGGGAGGCAGCAGUGGGGAAUAUUGCACAAUGGGCGCAAGCCUGAUGCAGCGACGCCGCGUGGGGGAUGACGGCCGUCGGGUGGUAAACUCCUUUCGUUAGGGACGAAGCCACACCUUUUUUGGGUGUGGUGACGGUACCUUUGUUAAGAAGCACCGGCUAACUACGUG
RNAcentral lists this ribosomal RNA (489 nucleotides) under uncultured bacterium. RNAcentral's name for it is "partial 16S ribosomal RNA". It matches the Rfam family "Bacterial small subunit ribosomal RNA", at positions 28 to 507 of the family's 1533-position model. The record is from RNAcentral.